RNAcentral lists this ribosomal RNA (497 nucleotides) under uncultured bacterium. RNAcentral's name for it is "partial 16S ribosomal RNA". It matches the Rfam family "Bacterial small subunit ribosomal RNA", at positions 28 to 507 of the family's 1533-position model. The record is from RNAcentral.
GAUGAACGCUGGCGGCGUGCCUAAUACAUGCGAGUCGAGCGAACAGACGAGGAGCUUGCUCCUCUGACGUUAGCGGCGGACGGGUGAGUAACACGUGGAUAACCUACCUAUAAGACUGGGAUAACUUCGGGAAACCGGAGCUAAUACCGGAUAAUCUAUUGCACCGCAUGGUUGAAUAGUGAAAGACGGUUUUGCUGUCACUUAUAGAUGGAUCCGCGCCGCAUUAGCUAGUUGGUAAGGUAACGGCUUACCAAGGCAACGAUGCGUAGCCGACCUGAGGGGGUGGUCGGCCACACUGGAACGGAGACACGGUCCAGACUCCUACGGGAGGCAGCAGUAGGGAAUCUUCCGCAAUGGGCGAAAGCCUGACGGAGCAACGCCGCGUGAGUGAUGAAGGUCUUCGGAUCGUAAAACUCUGUUAUGAGGGAAGAACAAAUGUGUAAGUAACUAUGCACGUCUUGACGGUACCUAAUCAGAAAGCCACGGCUAACUACGUG